UACGGAGGGAGCUAGCGUUGUUCGGAAUUACUGGGCGUAAAGCACACGUAGGCGGCUUUGUAAGUUAGAGGUGAAAGCCCGGGGCUCAACCCCGGAAUUGCCUUUAAGACUGCAUCGCUUGAAUCCGGGAGAGGUGAGUGGAAUUCCGAGUGUAGAGGUGAAAUUCGUAGAUAUUCGGAAGAACACCAGUGGCGAAGGCGGCUCACUGGACCGGUAUUGACGCUGAGGUGCGAAAGCGUGGGGAGCAAACAGG
This 253-nucleotide ribosomal RNA is filed under the name uncultured bacterium. RNAcentral's name for it is "partial 16S ribosomal RNA". It matches the Rfam family "Bacterial small subunit ribosomal RNA", at positions 524 to 776 of the family's 1533-position model. The record is from RNAcentral.